AAAAAUAUAAACAAAGUCAUUAAGAGAAAAAUUGAAGUGUUCAAUGAUCAACUUUUCUCUCCAAGGUACAAUUUGAUAUCUUUAUAUAUAAAAGAAAGGUUUUACCUCGAAACCCUAACCCCAUUUUAGUGAAAUAUUUGUUGCCCUAAAACGUAUUUUUGUCUAUUUACUUGAAAGUUAUUAUUAUUAAAAAAAUAUUUUUUUGCACAAUUUCUAGAUUACACUACACGAUUACAUAUUAAAGAAAAAACACGAUAAAAUAUAUACCCACAAUGUUAAAACCGCCAAUUUCCAUUUCCAUUGUUCCUCAAUUCUCGCCAUUAUCGGCAUAUAUGUAAGCAUGGUUAGCCAGAACGGCGUGGGAAACGGCCGGAACGGCCGUUCUGAAAGGGGAACGGUGCUCUCCAUUCCGGAAUUCGUAACCAGAACGGUGUUUUCACUGGGAUUCAUCGGUACGCCGAGAAAUCAGAGGGAUGGGCAAGACGGAGCCACGGAAUGGACCCGACACGGCCGGAACGGUGCCGGAACGGCGCCGGAACAGUAGAAAUAAUAUGAAAAAAAUAUAAUUUGACUAAAAAAAAAGGAAAAAAUGACUAAUUUAACUGAAAAAAAUAUGGAAAAAUAAUAUAAUUAACUUUUUUGUAAUGGCUCGUGACUUUUCUAAUGUUCUUGUUUUUACUGUUUGACUUGUUACUUGUGAAUUUUUUCUUGGAUUCUAAUAUUUUGUAUUAUGAUGAAUUUGAUUUUACUAUUGGGUGUUUAUUUUCACAUCAUCACAUGCACUCCUCUAGGCUAUAGCCUUUCACAUCCAUGUCUCCCACAAGCCACAGUUUCACUCAAUAAUAGAACUAAUAAUAAUACAGAUCGUGGAUUGAUAUGAUCAGCUUUUAUCUUCAAUACAUAAUAUAUAUAAAGAGGCAUUGCAGAAGCAUUGGAGGAUAGAGAGUAAAAGAGAAAAAUAUAAACAAAGUCAUUAAGAGAAAAAUUGAAGUGUUCAAUGAUCAACUUUUCUCUCCAAGGUACAAUUUGAUAUCUUUAUAUAUAAAAGAAAGGUUUUACCUCGAAACCCUAACCCCAUUUUAGUGAAAUAUUUGUUGCCCUAAAACGUAUUUUUGUCUAUUUACUUGAAAGUUAUUAUUAUUAAAAAAAUAUUUUUUUGCACAAUUUCUAGAUUACACUACACGAUUACAUAUUAAAGAAAAAACACGAUAAAAUAUAUACCCACAAUGUUAAAACCGCCAAUUUCCGUUUCCAUUGUUCAUCAAUUCUCGCCAUUAUCGGCAUAUAUGUAAGCAUGGUUAGCCGGAACGGCGUGGGAAACGGCCGGAACGGCCGUUCUGAAAGGGGAACAGUGCCCUCCGUUCCGGAAUCCGUAACCAGAACGGUGUUUUCACUGGGAUUCAUCGGAACGCCGAGAAAUCGGAGGGAUGGGCAAGACGGAGCCACGGAAUGGACCCGACACGGCCGGAACGGUGCCGGAACGGCGCUGGAACAGUAGAAAUAAUAUGAAAAAAAAACAUAAUUUGACUAAAAAAAAUAAAAAAUGACUAAUUUGAUUAACUUUUUUGUAAUGGCUCGUGACUUCUCUACUGUUCUUUUUUUUACUGUUUGACUUGUGACUUGUGAAUUAUUUCUUGGAUUCUAAUAUUUUGUAUUAUGAUGAAUAUUAUUUUACUAUUGGGUGCAGAUUUUCACAUCAUCACAUGCACUACUCUAGGCUAUAGCCUUUCACAUCCAUGUCUCCCACAAGCCACAGUUUCACUCUAUAAUAGAACUAAUAGUAAUACAGAUCGUGGAUUGAUAUCAGCUUUUAUCUUCAAUACAAAAUAUAUAUAGAGAGGCAUUGCAGAGGCAUUGGAGGAUCGAGAGUAAAAGAGAAAAAUAUAAACAAAGUCAUGAAGAAAAAAAUUGAAGUGUUCAAUCAUCAACUCUUCUUUCCAAGGUACAAUUUGAUAUGUUUGUUGUUUUUUAAUUUAUAAUUUUAUACGUCGCUAAAAGAUUGUAGUGCAUAAUUUAAUAUUGAUAGUCAUAUUGUUUUCGUAAUUUAUAAUUUAAUAUAGAAUAUUUAUAGUGAUAUAGUUUUCGUAAUUUAAAAUUUAAUAUAGAAUAUAGAUAGUAUGAAGAACGAAUAAUUGUAAUAAUAUUUUGCAUAUUAUUGUAUUGUAAUAUCGUUAUUAAAAACAUAUUUGAAAUAUAUUGUAUUUCUUUAGUAAUUAAAUUAAAAUGUGUCAUUUCCGGUCGCGACGUUGCAAUGGAACUGGAACGGCAAUGUCCGCGACAAUGCAUUGUUCCGUUCCGGCGAACCAUGUAUGUAAGUCUCAGAAUAACUCCCCAUUUUUCCACUCAUAAAAUUUGUUUUCCUAUUCUCUUUAUAUUUCUUCGCCGUUGUCAACGUUGGCUGCAAUUUUAAUACUACAUAAUCGCAAUGAAGAAAUGGUUAGUGAUCUUUCAGUUUUAGAAUUCAUUUUGCGUGCUCUGAAUUCCUAAAUCGAUCAAUGUUUAGAUUUUUGUUUUUGGGUUUUAUGAAAGUUACCCUUUAAUAAUAGGUUUGGAAUAUAUUUUUUUCUUUAUUUUGUUGAAAUUUCAUUUUAACAACGAUGUUUAUCAACAGUCAGUCUCACAUGCUAUAAUUAAAAAAGUAGAUGUAUAAUUCUUCAAAUUUCCGUGGAGUGUUGUAUGAAAACUGUUAAUUAUUAGUUUUGUUUAGUACACUUCUUAGACAACUUUUUAGCAAUUUUAUUUUUUUAAAUGUUCAUGAUAUUUAGGGAAUCAACUGUGACAUGUGGGGAAUCAAUUGAUGAGUAGUUAUUUGUUCUUUCUAUAAGAAAAGGAAUCGAAAUGUUUGAAGUUGUUGCUAUUUUAUUUGGUGUCACUGUAACAUAUGUUUUUCGUACACCAUGGUCAUAUACUCAUUAUUUUCAGCAAAAAAAAAAAAGAAGUUUUACUAUUUUCUCUAAUAUCUGAUGAUAUAUACAAUAAUCAGAAAAUAAGAAAUCUCACAACAAGUAUAUUAAUAUUGUUUUUCUCUGUUUUUUCACAGGUUUACCUGGUGAUGAGAAUGUCUUUUUGCUUCUUUUAACAGUUUUGUUUAGAGUUGUAUUAGUUUUGUAUUUGGAGGUGUUUUAUGAAGAUUGCUGCUAUCUUGAGAAUUUGGGAUGGCAAAAAAGAAAUCAAAAGCAAGAAGAUUCAUCUCUAGACUGCUCCAUUACAGAAACGAUAAUUGGUGCAUUUAGUUGGGUGCUCACAUGAAUUAGUUGCUGAUGAAUCGAACAUGAGGACGAGACAACAUGGUAUUAAUAUUAUACUAUAAUGAUUAAUAACAAAUGUUUUCUGAUUGGCAAUGUAGUUUUCUUUUCUCCACCCCUCUAAGAUUACUACAUUUCCACAUUUUUCUUUGUUAUGUAUAUCUAUUUGCUCUAUCUGUUGAUAUUAGCAAUUCAUUUUGUAUAUUGAUGUUUUUGCUAUAGUCAUGUAUUAAAUUG
This 3482-nucleotide long non-coding RNA is filed under the name Erythranthe guttata (spotted monkey flower). RNAcentral describes it as "long non-coding RNA (EGUT_LNC001135)". Lineage: Eukaryota; Viridiplantae; Streptophyta; Magnoliopsida; Lamiales; Phrymaceae. The record is from RNAcentral.